RNAcentral lists this unclassified non-coding RNA (258 nucleotides) under Hevea brasiliensis (rubber tree). It matches the Rfam family "Bacterial large subunit ribosomal RNA", at positions 58 to 297 of the family's 2925-position model. The record is from RNAcentral. Lineage: Eukaryota; Viridiplantae; Streptophyta; Magnoliopsida; Malpighiales; Euphorbiaceae.
GUGAAAGGCUGCGUUAAGCCUCGGGGAGUUGUCAAUAAAGCGUUGAUCCGAGGAUGUCCGAAUGGGGAAACCCGGCACGAGUGAUGUCGUGUCACCCGGCACUGAAUACAUAGGUGUCGGGAGGGAACGCGGGGAAGUGAAACAUCUCAGUACCCGUAGGAGAAGAAAACAAUUGUGAUUCCGUGUGUAGUGGCGAGCGAUAGCGGAUGAGGCUAAACCGUGUGCGUGUGAUACCUGGCAGGGGUUGCGUGUGCGGUG